AGUUAAAUCAAAUAGCUGCUGCUGUUCCUACUACUAACCCCGGUAUACCAUCACAACCGGAAGGAUUAGAAUCUGCAAAUCUUGUAGACAUGUUUGAUGCAGGUAAUUGGAGUAACCCCGUCACUGAAUUCUCUACUGACCUUCUGCCGGUUAAGAGAGGCGAUCCAGGACGCCCCGUCAUCCCGAUCUCCAUCGGCAUGGUGGACGUUCCAGAAGCACUCUGCGACUUUGGCUCCAGUGUCAACAUUAUACCUAGGGUACUCUAUGAAAAAUUCUUUACAUAUCCUUUAUUAGAGACAACCAUGUGUUUGCAGUUUGCAGAUCAGACGAUAACUUUUCCAAAAGGAAUAGUGAGGAAUCUUUGUGUCCGAGUUGGUACCUUAUAUGCCCCAGCAGACUUCGUAGUGGUAGAGACCGGAAAUGAUGAGAGAGCACCUAUUAUCUUAGGGAGGCCAUUCUUGAACACCACGGGAGCUAUCAUCUACGCCAGUGCUGCCAAGAUCAGUUUCUACGUCAAAGGGAAGAAGGAGACAUUUUUCUUCAAGAACAAGACUACACAAAUUCAAGAUCAAUCCAGACGUAAAUCAAGGAAGAGGACCAACAGAAGAAACAGGAACAAGCAAGUGUGGACCGAGUCAGCUAAGAUGGUCACUGUAGUCCAUGGAGGCCAAGAUCAUCAACUUAAGUCACCGUUUUUGACCAAGAAGGACGACCCAGGAAUGCCAAGCAUCUACUGCUCCAUAAAUGGAUACAACUUCUACAAGACGAUUUGCGACACCGGAUCGGGCGUCAACAUAAUGGCCGCAGUCACCUAUCGUCUCUUGUUCGGAACCAUGCCACUAAGACCAACGUACAUUCAGCUCCAGAUGGCAGAUCAGACAUUUCGAGAAGUCAAAGGAAUAGUAUCUGAUGUCCCAGUCAAAAUAGACGAUCAUUUUGUCUACACAGACUUUCAAGUUGUUGACAUGGGAGAAGAUGAGUAUGAUCCACCCAUCAUCCUUGGAAGACCGUUCCUCAGCACUGUUAAAGCAAUCAUCUACAUUGGAACCGAAGAAGUCCAUAUGCACUUCCCCUCAAAGAAGGUACGCCGUUACUUUAUUGACCCUGACUAUAUCGUUGAAGAAUCUAAGCAGGUGAGAAAGAGACGCAACCGCAACCAGAGGAGGCAGAUCAUCAAGGACGGAUGGGCAGACUAUGAAGGAGAAGUUGUAAGAUCAGAAGACGUUGAGUUUAAACAGAAUUAUCCAGAGGGGAUUGAAGCACCAAGUCAAGUGUGAAAAAUAAAGAUAACUAUACAAGAAGAGGAGGCGCUGCCGGAAGUACCGACUACGCCACCCAACGAACCUAAGGACGAUUAAGAAAAUGGAGAGUCCCGUUCGGAGGACUUAAAAACACCGAACGCCUUGCCAAGAGGUAAACUUGGUAGUUAUCAUUUCCCUUUCAAUUAUUUCAAAUAGUUUAUUUAGUUAAUCAUAUUCAUACUAUCCUAAAAAGAAAAUAAAAAUAUGAAAACCAGUAAGCCCCAUGUGAGUAUGCGAGUGGCAUAAAACCCAUAAGUACAUUCACUGUGGUGGCAUAAAAAUAAAAUAAUUAUUUUUUCUGCUUUAUAAAAAAAAAAUAUAAAAACAAGGAGUAAUAUUUAUUAAGGAGUCUCAACAUGAUAAAGGCUAGAUAUUUAUGCCAACACUUAAUCAGUUCCACAAGCUUUGUUGUCUAUUUGAGCUCCACAGAAUUUAAGAAUCAAGAAGACUAGCAGACGGAGGACAUUCUAAUCGCUGUCAGAAUACUGCUGACUUUCAAAUACACCUCUGCCACCUGCUAGCUACAUCAAGAGAAAUUACGUCAAAAUUCAGCUUGGGAGAGAGCACCCCUAUUUACCUCGAUAAGUAUUUCUAUCUAUCUUUAUACUUAUAUUAUUCUAGAAUAUAAAUACACAUAACUAUGAAAAACCAAAUAAAGAUUUUAUGCUUAUAUAUAUUUUGCUUAGUGUGUUUAAUAAAUAAAUAAAGUGGCUAUGCUAAUCUGUAUCUAAAUAAAACUUAAGCAUGGAUAUGAUAAAUAGUUGCUCUGCCUAAUUUGCAAAUUUUAAGUUCUCUCUCAAGUUUAGACAUAACUGUUAUAAUUUAAAUCUUGCUCUAGACCUAAACUUGUGGGAUGAAAACUUGAUCUGAAGUCUAAGUUGUUAAUGGAUACGAUAUGGGAAAGUUGAGCUGUUGUUUAUCUGUUCCUAGAGAUGCUAGAAUUCUGGAGAAUUUUAUCUUUGAAAAUCUUUAAAAUGUUGCAUGAUGAGUCCCUGUAUGAUGAGUGUUUAAAUUCCUACCACAGCCAUAUAUACAUGCUUGCUAGACUUUGAGCCACACAUUUACUAUUUACUGCUUAUGAGCAUUGAGUAUAGUCAAGCUGUGUAGACCCUUAGGGGCUUGUCAUGUGGUUAAAUCAAGAUUUCACUUGCACGUUCACUCAUAUAUGCUACUUCUACUCCAGAAGUACCAUCCACAUAUAUCCAUCCAUUUCCAUCUCCAGAAUCACCUAAAAAUAUUCUACUCUUAAUCCGGGAGAGAAUAACCAAAAAUAUUUCUGUUUUCCUCUUGUGAAAUAAAUGCUCAAGUUAUCUUGUUACUACCACUUGCUAUAUUAUCUCAAGAGAUGAAUGCUCUGAAAAAAAAGAAAAAAAGAUACGAGGAAAUAAAAAGGAGCAAGUGCUCGGAACCUCGAAAGAAAAGAAAAAGUGAGACAAGAGGUAAAAAUGGACAAGUGUCCGACAGUAGAAAUUAGGGGUACAAGAUACCCACCUGAGAGAAAAGAAAAGGAAGAGCAUCUCAUUCUCCUCAUAAAGUUUCAAAAGCAAGGAAGGUAUGUAUCCCCUCAAAGAGCAAAGUAGAAUUAGUCUUCCACCACCAUUGUUUUCACCAUUGUUGUCACCAUCACCACCAUACACCAUUCAUUCAUCACACAUGCACAUCUUGAUUUGGCUUAUUGAUUUGUUUCUUUGGAUCCAUGGUUUGACUAUGCAAUAAAUGUCUUGUAAGUAUGUAUAUUUUAUCUCCCACCUAUGAGCUCCAGAUAUUAAAGUCUUAUUAGAGUAGGAUGAGAGAGAAGGCAAUGUCACUAUGCCUCAUACCACAAAUACUACAUAUUUUGAGAGAAGGCAUAUACCAUCACUGCCUUGGUAAGGAUCCAAAAAAUACCACAAAAGAGAGACCUGAGAGAAUCAUACAAGGAAUCUCUGAGUUUUAUUUGAAAAUCUGCAAAAAACCCCAGAACUAUAGCGGAUCAAGAAUAAGAGACAUGGCACUUGGCUAGACUGUUCUAUCUUUUAACCACUCAAGAUAGAAGUGACGGUUACAAGUCCCAUGGUGAAGGUGAAGUAAGUAAGUUUUAAGUCUUGACAGUUUACUCUAACUCAGAGAUGAGAUCUUAUUUAAAAAGCAUGUGUACCGUCAAUUUUUUAAAGAUAUUGCAACAACUUAUGAUCCAUAGCUAAGUCUAUCCUUGCUCAGGGACGAGCAAGAGGUAAGCUUGGGGGAGUUUGUUGACGGUCCUUAAGUAUCAAAUUUAAUUAUCAAAUAAAUAAAGAAAAGGAUCCAAAUGAAAUCAACAUCCAGACUUAGGGUUUUAUCUGACAGAAUUCCACGAGUUUUGGUGUUUGUCUAUUUCUGCAGGGGGUUAUCAGGAAAUACGGAAGAAAGGUCCACAUGUCGGGAUUACGUAAAGAUAUUAACGUCCUGCGCAAUUAUCUUACAUCUAGAAGACUCCAGAAGCCACGAGACCGAAGCGGAGGCGAAACGGGGCCAGAGACAGGGCGCCCGCCCUGUCCUACUAGGCGCCCGCCCACCUCCUGUGUCCAAUCAGGACUCUGCUUUGCGGGAGAUCUCCACCGACCUAAAGGAUGAAUCUAAACCAUACAAUCUAUGUCGGUUUGAUCCAAUGGCCCAUAUUCACUUGAAGGGACUAUAAAACCAGACCCCCUGGCCCCUGGAGGAGAGAGCCUCUCAACCCUAAUUCAUUGUUCAUCAAGGGAGAAGAAGCCUCUGAUCAAGAUUAGAGCCACCACAUCAAUUAAAUAUCUAGAUUAGCAUAGCUACAUAGGAUUAGAACUAGAAGGAGUCAAUCUUCGAUUGGUUUCCGGAUCUGUCAGGAGGAUUCUUGGUAAUUCUCUAAUUGUGCUUCUAAUUGCUUUCUAAUUAUCUUUGUUCUUCAAUAUUAUGAAUAUGACUUUGUUCUACUUCAAUAUAUUGCUUAUGACUUUGCUCUACUUGCUUAUAUUCAAGAUUAUAUUGUUCUUAGUUUAUCAUAGUUAUGUACUUGGCUUAGUUAGAUUCGAUCUAUAUACAUGCUUAGGAUCGUAUAGCGUUUAUCCAUCGGAUCCAUGGGUAAAUGAUAGAUAUUGUGUAGGCGUGGUGCUUAUACCGUAUUUAUCUGUGAUUGUACCCAAUAUGCCAGAUCGUGGGGUGGUUCGUGAUAGUGACAGCUUCAUUGAUUCUUAUAUAGUCCCCCUCUCGUGUAUUGGGCUGGCAGAGCAACAUUAUUACAGGGGAGUGAUUGCUAUGUUUCUCAUAUUCCUUGCUAAUAUCACUAUGCAUGGGCGUAGUCUUGUCUCGCAAUGAUUGCUAAGUAUGCUUGCACUAAUUAUGAUAUGCUAGACUAUAUAGUUAAGAAUAACUUAGGGAAUAUUCUUGUAGUUCGUUCUAAUACCAUGCUAAUGACUUUCUAGAGUAUCUAAUUGAGGUGCUUAUCAUAUUUAUUAUGUGGCUAGAUCAGAUUAGUUAUCCUUGUCACUAUUAUUAUUUCAUAUAUCCUUUAUGUGACACUUAUCCCUGUAUGAAGAGUUAGAUAUAAUGUUCUCAAUUAUACAUGCAAUGAUAGAUUCUCAAUCUCAUAUUCUAUUCUGUAAUCAAUAGUGAUGAUUGCUAAUAACUUCCCAGUGGUAAAAAUAUAAAUAACGAUACCUGGAAUACUUCCCGGUUAAAAUGCUACAUCGGUAUUAAUCUGUGCGCUUGCAGAUCCCAUUCAUUAUUUAUUUAGAAGAGCAAUUGCAUAUUUCAAUACCACGUCUCUUAUAUCAUGCUGGGGAUGACAACUUGGCUUAAGUGGUGUGAGGGAUAGGUUUGGCAUUUUUGGCACCGUUACUAGAUUUAGAGAACUUAGUCUACUUUUGGUAAUGAUGUUAAGAAUACUCAACAAGCAUUUUUUGGCGCCGUUGCCGGGGAAGGUUGAUUACAAAUCAGGAAUGGAAUAAAAGAUUUUGAGUUAUCAUUCGCAUCACUAAUAUGAUUGAGCUUAUCUAUUCUCUCAUACAGUUUUACCCCGAUAUUUUUCUAUUUUAUCUUAUGCAGGGGAAUGUAUGAAUAGAAGACAUCUUCUAGGAAAUUUUGACAAUCCCGAAGCAUUAUUCAAGAAGACGAGGGCCAAGCUCAAGAAGAGAUCAUCAACACUUCACGAAGAAGCUUCAUCUAAUCAAGAAGAUCACCGGAACUUGUCUUCAGAGUUCGAAGCCAUGGCGAACAAAUCGAUCCGCGAGCUCUCAGCUCCCACUACGGACAACAUCCGCACUGGACCUGUUGCAGAGAUCGAUGGCAACUUUGAGCUCAAGCCUGGACUUAUCAACAUGGUGCAAUCCAACCAGUUCUGUGGGAAGGCACACGAAGAUGCUAGUGCUCAUUUACAACACUUCCUGGAGAUUUGCAACACAUUCACCAUAGCAGGAGUUUCCAAAGACGCUAUACUACUUCGCCUCUUCCCAUUCUCACUGUUAGGAAGAGCGAAGCAGUGGUUCUACACUACAAAGGAGAAGAAUACUACGUGGGCACUCUGCUCAACAAACUUCCUGGCAAAGUUCUUUCCCAUGGGCAAGACCAAUGCUCUCUGUGGGAAGAUUACAAGUUUUCAGCAACAAAAUGAUGAAUCUGUUCCAGAAGCAUGGGAGCGCUUUCAAGACUACAUCCUAGAAUGUCCCCAUCAUGGAAUGAAGAGUUGGCUAUUGAUGCAGACAUUCUAUCAUGGGCUCAGCAACAGUGCCCGAGAGACCAUGGAUGCUGCAGCUGGAGGAGCAUUCUUAUCACUUACUAUACCACAAGCCACAGCUCUUGUGGAGAAGAUGGCGUCCAAUCAAAGCUGGAAUGAAGAGAGGACCCAGACACGCAAGAGAGGUGGAGGUAUGCAUCAGCUGAAGGAGGUAGACAUGCUGUCUGCAAAGCUAGACCUGCUCAUGAAGAAGCUCGAUGAUAGAGCUGGAGACAAGAAAGAAGUUAUGCACAUCUACGAUUCUCACAUGACUUGUGAGGAGUGUGGAGAUACUGGACACUCAGGCAACCACUGCUCUGAGAUGCUUGAGGAUGUGAACUACAUCAACAACAACUACUACUACUACUACAACCGUCCUCAACAAAAUCAAGGUUGGAAUCAACAGAGGCCUAACUACUGAGGUAAUUCUCAAGGUAACAAUUCUUACAACAAUAAUAAUAAUUUUCCACCUUUGAGAGAGUUAGUGUCUAAUCAAGGAAAGCUAAUGGAUAACCUAUCUAAGAAAUUGGCAUCUAAUGAUAAAAUGCUAGAAAAUAUAAAUAAUAGAAUGGAUAAUUUCUCUACUGCCAUCAAGAAUCAAAUUAGCUUUAAUAAAAUGAUUGAAUCUCAGUUAAAUCAAAUAGCUGCUGCUGUUCCUACUACUAACCCCGGUAUACCAUCACAACCGGAAGGAUUAGAAUCUGCAAAUCUUGUAGACAUGUUUGAUGCAGGUAAUUGGAGUAACCCCGUCACUGAAUUCUCUACUGACCUUCUGCCGGUUAAGAGAGGCGAUCCAGGACGCCCCGUCAUCCCGAUCUCCAUCGGCAUGGUGGACGUUCCAGAAGCACUCUGCGACUUUGGCUCCAGUGUCAACAUUAUACCUAGGGUACUCUAUGAAAAAUUCUUUACAUAUCCUUUAUUAGAGACAACCAUGUGUUUGCAGUUUGCAGAUCAGACGAUAACUUUUCCAAAAGGAAUAGUGAGGAAUCUUUGUGUCCGAGUUGGUACCUUAUAUGCCCCAGCAGACUUCGUAGUGGUAGAGACCGGAAAUGAUGAGAGAGCACCUAUUAUCUUAGGGAGGCCAUUCUUGAACACCACGGGAGCUAUCAUCUACGCCAGUGCUGCCAAGAUCAGUUUCUACGUCAAAGGGAAGAAGGAGACAUUUUUCUUCAAGAACAAGACUACACAAAUUCAAGAUCAAUCCAGACGUAAAUCAAGGAAGAGGACCAACAGAAGAAACAGGAACAAGCAAGUGUGGACCGAGUCAGCUAAGAUGGUCACUGUAGUCCAUGGAGGCCAAGAUCAUCAACUUAAGUCACCGUUUUUGACCAAGAAGGACGACCCAGGAAUGCCAAGCAUCUACUGCUCCAUAAAUGGAUACAACUUCUACAAGACGAUUUGCGACACCGGAUCGGGCGUCAACAUAAUGGCCGCAGUCACCUAUCGUCUCUUGUUCGGAACCAUGCCACUAAGACCAACGUACAUUCAGCUCCAGAUGGCAGAUCAGACAUUUCGAGAAGUCAAAGGAAUAGUAUCUGAUGUCCCAGUCAAAAUAGACGAUCAUUUUGUCUACACAGACUUUCAAGUUGUUGACAUGGGAGAAGAUGAGUAUGAUCCACCCAUCAUCCUUGGAAGACCGUUCCUCAGCACUGUUAAAGCAAUCAUCUACAUUGGAACCGAAGAAGUCCAUAUGCACUUCCCCUCAAAGAAGGUACGCCGUUACUUUAUUGACCCUGACUAUAUCGUUGAAGAAUCUAAGCAGGUGAGAAAGAGACGCAACCGCAACCAGAGGAGGCAGAUCAUCAAGGACGGAUGGGCAGACUAUGAAGGAGAAGUUGUAAGAUCAGAAGACGUUGAGUUUAAACAGAAUUAUCCAGAGGGGAUUGAAGCACCAAGUCAAGUGUGAAAAAUAAAGAUAACUAUACAAGAAGAGGAGGCGCUGCCGGAAGUACCGACUACGCCACCCAACGAACCUAAGGACGAUUAAGAAAAUGGAGAGUCCCGUUCGGAGGACUUAAAAACACCGAACGCCUUGCCAAGAGGUAAACUUGGUAGUUAUCAUUUCCCUUUCAAUUAUUUCAAAUAGUUUAUUUAGUUAAUCAUAUUCAUACUAUCCUAAAAAGAAAAUAAAAAUAUGAAAACCAGUAAGCCCCAUGUGAGUAUGCGAGUGGCAUAAAACCCAUAAGUACAUUCACUGUGGUGGCAUAAAAAUAAAAUAAUUAUUUUUUCUGCUUUAUAAAAAAAAAAUAUAAAAACAAGGAGUAAUAUUUAUUAAGGAGUCUCAACAUGAUAAAGGCUAGAUAUUUAUGCCAACACUUAAUCAGUUCCACAAGCUUUGUUGUCUAUUUGAGCUCCACAGAAUUUAAGAAUCAAGAAGACUAGCAGACGGAGGACAUUCUAAUCGCUGUCAGAAUACUGCUGACUUUCAAAUACACCUCUGCCACCUGCUAGCUACAUCAAGAGAAAUUACGUCAAAAUUCAGCUUGGGAGAGAGCACCCCUAUUUACCUCGAUAAGUAUUUCUAUCUAUCUUUAUACUUAUAUUAUUCUAGAAUAUAAAUACACAUAACUAUGAAAAACCAAAUAAAGAUUUUAUGCUUAUAUAUAUUUUGCUUAGUGUGUUUAAUAAAUAAAUAAAGUGGCUAUGCUAAUCUGUAUCUAAAUAAAACUUAAGCAUGGAUAUGAUAAAUAGUUGCUCUGCCUAAUUUGCAAAUUUUAAGUUCUCUCUCAAGUUUAGACAUAACUGUUAUAAUUUAAAUCUUGCUCUAGACCUAAACUUGUGGGAUGAAAACUUGAUCUGAAGUCUAAGUUGUUAAUGGAUACGAUAUGGGAAAGUUGAGCUGUUGUUUAUCUGUUCCUAGAGAUGCUAGAAUUCUGGAGAAUUUUAUCUUUGAAAAUCUUUAAAAUGUUGCAUGAUGAGUCCCUGUAUGAUGAGUGUUUAAAUUCCUACCACAGCCAUAUAUACAUGCUUGCUAGACUUUGAGCCACACAUUUACUAUUUACUGCUUAUGAGCAUUGAGUAUAGUCAAGCUGUGUAGACCCUUAGGGGCUUGUCAUGUGGUUAAAUCAAGAUUUCACUUGCACGUUCACUCAUAUAUGCUACUUCUACUCCGGAAGUACCAUCCACAUAUAUUCAUCCAUUUCCAUCUCCAGAAUCACCUAAAAAUAUUCUACUCCUAAUCCGGGAGAGAAUAACCAAAAAUAUUUCUGUUUUCCUCUUGUGAAAUAAAUGCUCAAGUUAUCUUGUUACUACCACUUGCUAUAUUAUCUCAAGAGAUGAAUGCUCUGAAAAAAAAAGAAAAAAAGAUACGAGGAAAUAAAAAGGAGCAAGUGCUCGGAACCUCGAAAGAAAAGAAAAAGUGAGACGAGAGGUAAAAAUGGACAAGUGUCCGACAGUAGAAAUUAGGGGUACAAGAUACCCACCUGAGAGAAAAGAAAAAGAAGAGCAUCUCAUUCUCCUCAUAAAGUUUCAAAAGCAAGGAAGGUAUGUAUCCUCUCAAAGAGCAAAGUAGAAUUAGACUUCCACCACCAUUGUUUUCACCAUUGUUGUCACCAUCACCACCAUACACCAUUCAUUCGUCACACAUGCACAUCUUGAUUUGGCUUAUUGAUUUGUUUCUUUGGAUCCAUGGUUUGACUAUGCAAUAAAUGUCUUGUAAGUAUGUAUAUUUUAUCUCCCACCUAUGAGCUCCAGAUAUUAAAGUCUUAUUAGAGUAGGAUGAGAGAGAAGGCAAUGUCACUAUGCCUCAUACCACAAAUACUACAUAUUUUGAGAGAAGGCAUAUACCAUCACUGCCUUGGUAAGGAUCCAAAAAAUACCACAAAAGAGAGACCUGAGAGAAUCAUACAAGGAAUCUCUGAGUUUUAUUUGAAAAUCUGCAAAAAACGCCAGAGCUAUAGCGGAUCAAGAAUAAGAGACAUGGCACUUGGCUAGACUGUUCUAUCAUUUAACCACUCAAGAUAGAAGUGACGGUUACAAGUCCCAUGGUGAAGGUGAAGUAAGUAAGUUUUAAGUCUUGACAGUUUACUCUAACUCAGAGAUGAGAUCUUAUUUAAAAAGCAUGUGUACCGUCAAUUUUUUAAAGAUAUUGCAACAACUUAUGAUCCAUAGCUAAGUCUAUCCUUACUCAGGGACGAGCAAGAGGUAAGCUUGGGGGAGUUUGUUGACGGUCCUUAAGUAUCAAAUUUAAUUAUCAAAUAAAUAAAGAAAAGGAUCCAAAUGAAAUCAACAUCCAGACUUAGGGUUUUAUCUGACAGAAUUCCACGAGUUUUGGUGUUUGUCUAUUUCUGCAGGGGGUUAUCAGGAAAUACGGAAGAAAGGUCCACAUGUCGGGAUUACGUAAAGAUAUUAACGUCCUGCGCAAUUAUCUUACAUCUAGAAGACUCCAGAAGCCACGAUACCGAAGCGGAGGCGAAACGGGGCCAGAGACAGGGCGCCCGCCCUGUCCUACUGGGCGCCCGCCCACCUCCUGUGUCCAAUCAGGACUCUGCUUUGCGGGAGAUCUCCACCGACCUAAAGGAUGAAUCUAAACCAUACAAUCUAUGUCGGUUUGAUCCAAUGGCCCAUAUUCACUUGAAGGGACUAUAAAACCAGACCCCCUGGCCCCUGGAGGAGAGAGCUUCUCAACCCUAAUUCAUUGUUCAUCAAGGGAUAAGAAGCCUCUGAUCAAGAUUAGAGCCACCACAUCAAUUAGAUAUCUAGAUUAGCAUAGCUACAUAGGAUUAGAACUAGAAGGAGUCAAUCUUCGAUUGGUUUCCGGAUCUGUCAGGAGGAUUCUUGGUAAUUCUCUAAUUGUGCUUCUAAUUGCUUUCUAAUUAUCUUUGUUCAUCAAUAUUAUGAAUAUGACUUUGUUCUACUUCAAUAUAUUGCUUAUGACUUUGCUCUACUUGCUUAUAUUCAAGAUUAUAUUGUUCUUAGUUUAUCAUAGUUAUGUACUUGGCUUAGUUAGAUUCGAUCUAUAUACAUGCUUAGGAUCGUAUAGCGUUUAUCCAUCGGAUCCAUGGGUAAAUGAUAGAUAUUGUGUAGGCGUGGUGCUUAUACCGUAUUUAUCUGCGAUUGUACCCAAUAUGCCAGAUCGUGGGGUGGUUCGUGAUAGUGACAGCUUCAUUGAUUCUUAUAUAGUCCCCCUCUCGUGUAUUGGGCUGGCAGAGUAACAUUAUUACAGGGGAGUGAUUGUUAUGUUUCUCAUAUUCCUUGCUAAUAUCACUAUGCAUGGGCGUAGUCUUGUCUCGCAAUGAUUGCUAAGUAUGCUUGCACUAAUUAUGAUAUGCUAGACUAUAUAGUUAAGAAUAACUUAGGGAAUAUUCUUGUAGUUCGUUCUAAUACCAUGCUAAUGACUUUCUAGAGUAUCUAAUUGAGGUGCUUAUCAUAUUUAUUAUGUGGCUAGAUCAGAUUAGUUAUCCUUGUCACUAUUAUUAUUUCAUAUAUCCUUUAUGUGACACUUAUCCCUGUAUGAAGAGUUAGAUAUAAUGUUCUCAAUUAUACAUGCAAUGGUAGAUGCUCAAUCUCAUAUUCUAUUCUGUAAUCAAUAGUGAUGAUUGCUAAUAACUUCCUAGUGGUAAAAAUAUAAAUAACGAUACCUGGAAUACUUCCCGGUUAAAAUGCUACAUCGGUAUUAAUCUGUGCGCUUGCAGAUCCCAUUCAUUAUUUAUUUAGAAGAGCAAUUGCAUAUUUCAAUACCGCGUCUCUUAUAUCAUGCUGGGGAUGACAACUUGGCUUAAGUGGUGUGAGGGAUAGGUUUGGCAUUUUUGGCACCGUUACUAGAUUUAGAGAACUUAGUCUACUUUUGGUAAUGAUGUUAAGAAUACCCAACACUCUUGCUGGCUUAGGUUUCAUGGGCCACUUAGCCUAUUAACUAAUCGAUGCCUUGAGACACCCGGGGAUUAUAACCCUAGUAGAAUCACAUCAACAUCUCCUAGAUAUUUCAUGUCAAAUCUCUUUGACAUGAAAGACUUCUCUCAUUGAUACCAUCAAUGAUUCUAUCAAAAAUUAGAAUGUCAUUCACAUACAAACAUAAAAUAACUCCUCCUCCGCCACCAUAGCAAUAACACACACCUCAUUAUUGGCCAAGCCCAUAGAAGUUAAAGUUCUGUCAAACAUAAAGAGAGUUACCUUAUUGAUCGUUGCAUGGCCUACGAGUUGCCCCUAGAUCAUUGUCCUAUGUUGAAAGAUCCUUCCAUAAUUGAGUGAUACUUAGUGGAUUAAUGCUUUCCUUGAGAUGAUGAACUAAGUUAGUCCAGAAGGUGAUGUUGAGAGACAUGGAGGCCAUCGGAUGGCAUGGGCAUGUGAUGAAAAGCUCAACAAGUCAGAAAAUGAUGGAGAUGGAUGGAGUUAAAAGCAAACCCACAAAAGUAAAGGUAUAUAAGAUAGGUUGUGUGCUUUUGGCAGCCUAUAGUAUAUAGAGAAGCAAUUGGAUGGGUUUAUUAGGAUAGAUAGUCGUACUACAAAGAGGAGAAUUCUUUAGCUAAUAUAGUUAUCUAGUGCCACUAGGUGGCAACUAACAAUGCAUAUUUAUUAAAUCAAGUGAUAGGGUAAGGAAUCAAGUGAACUGAAAAUGCUAACUCAAUGCUAACAAUGCUUAGCACUCAUCUAUUAUUUCUUAUUGUUUCUAGAGAUAACCUUGCUAAUGAUUUACGUCUCUCAUUGAGGACGUCCUAAAUAGGAAGGUAGCUCUAAGCUACUCCCUAUAUCCCAAAAAGAAUGUCAUCAUAGUGUUUGAAAUAUGUCCCUAAAAGACUACCAUUUUAGCUUAUUCCCACCUGAGAUCCCUUUCUCUAGCCAUCCGCUCACCCCAUCCCUCCCUCGUUGUCAUCUCUCUCCCUCCCUUCACUUUUUCCUCUUCUCUCUUCCUCUCCACCAAUGACCCCUUCCUCUUCCCAUUUAUCAGCAUGUAAAGUGACACUACAUGGCGGGGCUAUGCCAGGGCGAUGAAGAUCUAGCUCCUCCCUUCCUUUGCUCCUCCCACGCCCGUUGGCGCUCUCCCUUUUUCUCACACCGCUAGAGAGGAGGCUGAGACAGCAGCGCAGAGUUGAUGGAUCUGUUUGGGAUGGAGCAGAGGUAGGUGAUUGGGAGGGUGGUGCCUCCUUGGUGGCAUAUGAUGUGAGAAGACUUGUGGCAUUGGCCUCGGCCUCCCUUGCAGUGCUUGUCAUGGAACCAAAAGGUGGCAACCUAAAAGCCCUAGUUUAGUUUUGGAUAAUUGAUGAAACUUAGAGACUAAUCCUAAUGCUAAGUGUGAAGACAUGUAAAGAUGGUUCCAUGCCAAGUGGUGGAGCUAGACAUGAUCAUGAACGAUGAUGAUGACCACAUGAUGAUCAAGUGCUCAACUUGAAAAGAAGAAAGAGAAAAACAAAACCCGAUUGAUCAAUCCAAAUGUAUUGCUUAGGGUUUUGGCUUUGGUGAUCAAGACACCAUAGAGGUUGUGAUCACACUUAGGAUAGAUAGCCAUACUAUGAAAAGAAGAAUUUCACGGUUAAAAUGGUUAUUGAGUGCCACUAGGUGUCAUUAUUCAUAUGCAUGCAUUUAGAAUUUAGUGUGUUAACAUAACCGUUGAAAAAUGUUUAUGAAAAUUUGCUAACACAUGUGUACAAGGUGGUACACUUGGCGGUUAGCAUAUUUGAGCAAGGGUUGAAGAGGUAGCAAAGUUGGUGCAGUAGUGAAGUUUGCACGUGUGUGUCUGCUGUGGUCUUAGGGUUGACUACCGGAUGCGUCAGGUGUCUCUAUUCACCAGCAGGUUGUGAGCAAGGAGUUUGUGCAGUGUGUGCACCAAACGCUGGUGAAAGCCCAAGUUUGGUUUUGGUAAUUAAUGACACCAAGUUGCUAAUGCCUUUUGUUUAAGUGAUUUGAGUUAGGCAUAGCAAACACAUGUGAUGAAGGUGCAUGGUAGCAUGGAAAGGUGGCCACAUGAUCACAAAGGGAUGAAGCAUGAAGUGGAGAUCAUGGUGAUAGAUGAGGAGUAAAGUGAUCAAGGCAAAGGUAUAAACAUAGGGCUUUACUCUUGCCGGUCUAAGUUGAGUAGAGAAGUGAUUGACCGGAUUUAGGAUAGAUAACCAACUAUCAAGAGGGGAAAUCACGGUCAUCUCUCGAAUCAAGUGCUACUAGGUUCAUAUCUUGAGCAUAUGCAUUAGGAUCUAGUAAAGUGCUAACCUAACUCCUUUGUGAAAAUGUUUGUGAAAAGCUAACACACAUGCACUUUGGUGGUGGACACUUGUUGGUGUUAGCACAUUUGCAAAGGACGUGGAGUUCCUAGGGUUGAGAGGGGUUUGGUCGGCGCUUUUUGAGUAAUUUAAGUGUAUAUUCUCUAUUGCGCCGGUGGGAAAUUUGGAGAAGUCGCGGAAGACCGGACGCAGUGCGCGGUGUUGACGGUCCUUAAGUAUCAAAUUUAAUUAUCAAAUAAAUAAAGAAAAAGAUCCAAAUGAAAUCAAGAUCUAGACUUAGGGUUUUAUCUGACAGAAUUCCAUGAGUUUUGGUGUUUGUCUAUUUCUGCAGGGGGUUAUCAGGAAAUAUGGAAGAAAGGCCCACAUGUCGGGAUUACGUAAAGAUAUUAACGUGCUGCGCAAAUAUCCUACAUAUAGAAGACUCCAGAAGCCACGAGACCGAAGCGGAGGCGAAACGGGGCCAGAGGCAGGGCGCCCGCCCUCCUGCCCUGGGCGCCCGCCCCCUCCAGGAGUCCAAUCAGGACUCUGCUUUGCGGGAAGUCUCCACCGACCUAAAGGAUGGAUCUAAACCAUACAAUCUAUGUCGGUUUGAUCCAAGGGCCCAUAUUCACUUGAAGGGACUAUAAAACCAGACCCCCUGGCCCCUGGAGGAGGGAGCCUCUCAACCCUAAUUCAUUGUUCCAUCAAGGGAGAAGAAGCCUCUGAUCAAGAUUAGAGCCACCACAUCAAUUAGAUAUCUAGAUUAGCAUAGCUACAUAGGAUUAGAACUAGAAGGAGUCAAUCUUCGAUUGGUUUUCGGAUCUGUCAGGAGGAUUCUUGGUAAUUCUCUAAUUGUGCUUCUAAUUGCUUUCUAAUUAUCUUUGUUCUUCAAUAUUAUGAAUAUGACUUUGUUCUACUUCAAUAUAUUGCUUAUGACUUUGCUCUACUUGCUUAUAUUCAAGAUUAUAUUGUUCUUAGUUUGUCAUAGUUAUGUACUUGGCUUAGUUAGAUUCGAUCUAUAUACAUGCUUAGGAUCGUAUAGCGUUUAUCCAUCGGAUCCAUGGGUAAAUGAUAGAUAUUGUGUAGGCGUGGUGCUUAUACCGUAUUUAUCUGCGAUUGUACCCAAUAUGCCAGAUCGUGGGGUGGUUCGUGAUAGUGACAGCUUCAUUGAUUCUUAUAUAGUCCCCCUCUCGUGUAUUGGGCUGGCAGAGCAACAUUAUUACAGGGGAGUGAUUGCUAUGUUUCUCAUAUUCCUUGCUAAUAUCACUAUGCAUGGGCGUAGUCUUGUCUCACAAUGAUUGCUAUGUAUGCUUGCACUAACUAUGAUAAUGCUAGACUAUAUAGUUGAGAAUAACUUAGGGAAUAUUCUUGUAGUUCAUUCUAAUACCAUGCCAAUGACUUUCUAGAGUAUCUAAUUGAGGUGCUUAUCAUAUUUAUUAUGUGGCUAGAUCAGAUUAGUUAUCCUUGUCACUAUUAUUAUUUCAUAUAUCCUUUAUGUGACACUUAUCCCUGUAUGAUGAGUUAGAUAUAAUGUUCUCAAUUAUACAUGCAAUGAUAGAUGCUCCAUCUCAUAUUCUAUUCUGUAAUCAAUAGUGAUGAUUGCUAAUCCCUUCCCAGUGGUAAAAAUAUAAAUAACGAUACCUGGAAUACUUCCCGGUUAAAAUGCUACAUCGGUAUUAAUCUGUGCGCUUGCAGAUCCCAUUCAUUAUUUAUUUAGAAGACCAAUUGCAUAUUUCAAUACCGCGUCUCUCAUAUCAUGCUGGGGAUGACAACUUGGCUUAAGUGGUGUGAGGGAUAGGUUUGGCAUUUUUGGCACCGUUGCUAGAUUUAGAACUUAGUCUACUUUUAGUAAUGAUGUUAAGAAUACCCAACAAGCAUUUUUGGCGCCGUUGCCGGGGAAGGUUGAUUACCAAUCAGGAAUGGAAUAAAAGAUUUAGAGUAAUCAUUCGCAUCACUAAUAUGAUUGAGCUUAUCUAUUCUCUCAUACAGUUUUACCCCGAUAUUUUUCUAUUUUAUCUUAUGCAGGGGAAUGUAUGAAUAGAAGACAUCUUCCAGGAAAUUUUGUUGACGAUCCUGAAGCAUUAUUCAAGAAGACGAGAGCCAAGCUAAAGAAAUCAUCAACACUUCACGAAGAAGUUUCAUCCAAUCAAGAAGAUCACCGGAACUUGUCUUCAGAGUUCGAAGCCAUGGCGAACAAAUCAAUCCGCGAGUUCUCAGCUCCCACUACGGACAACAUCCGCACUGGACCUGCUGCAGAGAUCGAUGGCAACUUUGAGCUCAAGCCUGGACUUAUCAACAUGGUGCAAUCCAACCAGUUCUGUGGGAAGGCACACGAAGAUGCUAGUGCUCAUUUACAACACUUCCUGGAGAUUUGCAACACAUUCACCAUAGCAGGAGUUUCCAAAGACGCUAUACUACUUCGCCUCUUCCCAUUCUCACUGUUAGGAAGAGUGAAGCAGUGGUUCUACACUACAAAGGAGAAGAAUACUACGUGGGCACUCUGCUCAACAAACUUCCUGGCAAAGUUCUUUCCCAUGGGCAAGACCAAUGCUCUCCGUGGGAAGAUUACAAGUUUUCAGCAACAAAAUGAUGAAUCUGUUCCCGAAGCAUGGGAGCGCUUUCAAGACUACAUCCUAGAAUGUCCCCAUCAUGGAAUGGAGAGUUGGCUAUUGAUGCAGACGUUUUAUCAUGGGCUCAGUAACAGUGCCCGAGAGACCAUGGAUGCUGCAGCUGGAGGAGCAUUCUUAUCACUUACUAUACCACAAGCCACAGCUCUUGUGGAGAAGAUGGCGUCCAAUCAAAGCUGGAAUGAAGAGAGGACCCAGACACGCAAGAGAGGUGGAGGUAUGCAUCAGCUGAAGGAGGUAGACAUGCUGUCUGCAAAGUUAGACCUGCUCAUGAAGAAGCUCGAUGAUAGAGCUGGAGACAAGAAAUAAGUUAUGCACAUCUACGACUCUCACAUGACUUGUGAGGAGUGUGGAGACACUGGACACUCAGGCAACCACUGCCCUGAGAUACUUGAGGAUGUGAACUACAUCAACAACAACAACUACUACUACAACCGUCCUCAACAAAAUCAAGGUUGGAAUCAACAGAGGCCUAACUACUCAGGUAAUUAUCAAGGUAACAAUUCUUACAAUAAUAAUAAUUUUCCACCUUUGAGAGAGUUAGUGUCUAAUCAAGGAAAGCUAAUGGAUAACCUAUCUAAGAAAUUGGCAUCUAAUGAUAAAAUGCUAGAAAAUAUAAAUAAUAGAAUGGAUAAUUUCUCUACUGCCAUCAAGAAUCAAAUUAGCUUUAAUAAAAUGAUUGAAUCUCAGUUAAAAUCAAAUAGCUGCUGCUGUUCCUACUACUAACCCCGGUAUACCAUCACAACCGGAAGGAUUAGAAUCUGCAAAUCUUGUAGACGUGUUUGAUGCAGGUAAUUGGAGUAACCCCGUCACUGAAUUUUCUACUGACCAUGUGCCGGUCAAGAGAGGCGAUCCAGGACGCCCCGUCAUCCCGAUCUCCAUCGGCAUGGUGGACUUCCCAGAAGCACUCUGUGACUUUGGCUCUAGCGUCAACAUUAUACCCAGGGUACUCUAUGAGAAAUUCUUUACAUAUCCUUUAUUAGAGACAACCAUGUGUUUGCAGUUUGCAGAUCAGACGAUAACUUUUCCAAAAGGAAUAGUGAGGAACCUUUGUGUCCGAGUUGGUACCUUGUAUGCACCAGCAGACUUCGUAGUGGUAGAGACUGGAAAUGAUGAGAGAGCACCUAUCAUCUUAGGGAGGCCAUUCUUGAACACCACGGGAGCUAUCAUCUACGCCAGUGCUGCCAAGAUCAGUUUCUAUGUCAAAGGGAAGAAGGAGACAUUUUUCUUCAAGAACAAGACUACACAAAUUCCAAAUCAAUCCAGACGUGAAUCAAGGAAGAGGACCAACAGAAGAAACAGGAACAAGCAAGUGUGGACCGAGUCAGCUAAGAUGGUCACUGUAGUCCAUGGAGGCCAAGAUCACCAACUGAAGUCACCGUUUUUGACCAAGAAGGACGACCCAGGAAUGCCAAGCAUUUACUGCUCCAUAAAUGGAUACAACUUCUACAAGACGAUUUGCGACAUCGGAUCAGGCGUCAACAUAAUGGCCGCAGUCACUUAUCGGCUCUUGUUCGGGACCAUGCCACUAAGACCAACAUACACUCAGCUCCAGAUGGCAGAUCAGACAUUUCGAGAAGUUCAAGGAACAGUAUCUGAUGUCCCAGUCAAAAUAGACGAUCACUUUGUCUACACAGACUUUCAAGUUGUUGACAUGGGAGAAGAUGAGUAUGAUCCACCCAUCAUCCUUGGAAGACCGUUCCUCAGCACCGUUAAAGCAAUUAUCUACAUUGGAACCGGAGAAGUCCAUAUGCACUUUCCCUCAGAGAAGGUACGCCGUUAUUUUACUGACCCUAACUAUAUCAUUGAAGAAUCUAAGCAGGUCAGAAAGAGACGCAACCGCAACCAGAGGAGGCAGAUCAUCAAGGACGGAUGGGCAGACUAUGAAGGAGAAGUUGUAAGAUCAGAAGACAUUGAGUUUAAACAGAAUUAUCCAGAGGAGAUUGAAGCACCGAGUCAGGUAUGGAAAAUGAAGAUAACUAUACAAGAAGAGGAGGCACUGCCGGAAGUACCGACUACGCCACCCAACGAACCUCAGGACGAUUAAGAAAUUAGAGAGUCCCGUUCGGAGGACUUAAAAACACCGAACGCCUUGCCAAGAGGUAAACUUGGUAGUUACCCUUUUCCUUUCAAUUAUUUCAAAUAGUUUACUUAGUUAAUCAUGUUCAUACUAUCCUAAAAAGAAAAUAAAAAUAUGAAAAACCGUAAGCCCCAUGUGAAUAUACGAGUGGCAUAAAACCCAUACGUACAUUCACUGUGGUGGCAUAAAAAUAAAAUAAAUAUUUUUCUGCUUUAUAAAAUAAAAAUAUAAAAACAGGGAGUAAUAAUUAUUAAGGAGUCUCAAGAUGAUGAAGGCUAUAUAUUUAUGCUAACACUUAAUCAGUUCCACAAGCUUUGUUGUCUAUUUGAGCUCCACAGAAUUUAAGAAUCAAGAAGACUAGCAGACGGAGGACAUUCUAAUCGCUGUCAGAAUGCUGCUGACUUUCAACUACACCUCUGCCACCUGUUAGCUACAUCAAGAGAAAUUACGUCAAAAUUCAGCUUGGGGGAGAGCACCCCCAUUUAUCCCGAUAAGUAUUUCUAUCUAUCUUUAUACUUAUAUUAUUUUAGAAUAUUAAAAUACAUAAACUAUGGGAAAACCAAAUAAAGAUUUUAAGCUUAUAUAUAUAUAUCUUUUGCUUAGUGUGUUUAAUAAAUAAAUAAAGUGGCUAUGCUAAUCUGUAUCUAAAUAAAACUUAAGCAUGGAUAUGAUGAAUAGUUGCUCUGCCUAAUUUGCAAAUUUUAAGUUCUCUCUCAAGUUUAGAUAUAACUGUUAUAAUUUAAAGCUUGCUCUAGACCUAAACUUGUGGGAUGAAAACUUGAUCUGAAGUCUAAGUUGUUAACGGAUACGAUAUGGGAAGGCUGAGCUGCUGUUUAUCUGUUCCUAGAGAUGCUAGAAUUCUGGAGAAUUUUAUCUUUGAAAAUCUUUAAAAUGUUGCAUGAUGAGUUCCUGUAUGAUGAGAGCUUAAAAUUCCUACCACAGCCAUAUAUACAUGCUUGCUAGACUUUGAGCCACACAUUUACUAUUUACUUCUUAUGAGCAUUGAGUGUGGUCAAGCUGUGUAGACCCUUAGGAGCUUGUCAUGCGGUUAAAUCAAGAUUUCACUUGCACGUUCACUCAUAUAUGCUACUUCUACUCUGGAAGUACCAUCCACAUAUAUCCAUUCAUUCCAUCUCCAGAACCACCUGAAAAUAUUCUACUCCUAAUCCGGGAGAGAAUAACCAAAAAUAUUUUCUGUUUUCCCCUUUGUGAAAUAAAUGCUCAAGUUAUCUUGUUACUACCACUUGCUAUAUUAUCUCAAGAGAUGAGUGCUCUAAAAAAAAGAGAGAAAAUAAUACGAGGAAAUAAAAAGGAGCAAGUGCUCGGAACCUCGAAAGAAAAGAAAGAAGUGAGAUGAGAGGUAAAAAUGGACAAGUGUCCGACAGUAGAAUUAGGGGUGCAAGAUACCCACCUGAGAGAAAAGAAAAAGAAGAGCAUCUCAUUCUCCUCAUAAAGUUUCAAAAGCAAGGAAGGUAUGUAUCCCCUCAAAAGAGCAAAGUAGAAUUAGACUUCCACCACCAUUGUUUUCACCAUUGUUAUCACCAUCAUCACCAUACACCAUUCAUUCGCCACACAUGCACAUCUUGUUUCUUUGGAUCCAUGGUUUGACUAUGCAAUAAAUGUCUUGUAAGUAUGUAUACUUUAUCUCCCACCUAUGAGCUCCAGAUAUUAAAGCCUUAUUAGAGUAGGGUG
RNAcentral lists this long non-coding RNA (20534 nucleotides) under Sorghum bicolor (sorghum). Its description in RNAcentral is "long non-coding RNA (SBIC_LNC006093)". The record is from RNAcentral. Lineage: Eukaryota; Viridiplantae; Streptophyta; Magnoliopsida; Poales; Poaceae.